AGAGUUUGAUCAUGGCUCAGAUUGAACGCUGGCGGCAUGCCUUACACAUGCAAGUCGAACGGUAACGGGCCUUCGGGUGCCGACGAGUGGCGAACGGGUGAGUAAUGCAUCGGAACGUACCUUCAGUGGGGGAUAACGUAGCGAAAGUUACGCUAAUACCGCAUAUUCUGUGAGCAGGAAAGCAGGGGAUCGCAAGACCUUGCGCUGAUUGAGCGGCCGAUGUCAGAUUAGCUAGUUGGUGGGGUAAUGGCCCACCAAGGCGACGAUCGGUAGCUGGUCUGAGAGGAUGAUCAGCCACACUGGGACUGAGACACGGCCCAGACUCCUACGGGAGGCAGCAGUGGGGAAUUUUGGACAAUGGGGGCAACCCUGAUCCAGCCAUGCCGCGUGCGGGAAGAAGGCCUUCGGGUUGUAAACCGCUUUUGGUCGGGAAGAAAAGGCAACUCCUAAUACGAGGUGUUCUUGACGGUACCGGCAGAAUAAGCACCGGCUAACUACGUG
RNAcentral lists this ribosomal RNA (501 nucleotides) under uncultured bacterium. RNAcentral describes it as "bacterial SSU rRNA". It matches the Rfam family "Bacterial small subunit ribosomal RNA", at positions 8 to 507 of the family's 1533-position model. The record is from RNAcentral.